This 883-nucleotide long non-coding RNA is filed under the name Homo sapiens (human). RNAcentral's name for it is "PRKCQ antisense RNA 1". The record is from RNAcentral. Lineage: Eukaryota; Metazoa; Chordata; Mammalia; Primates; Hominidae.
AGGAGGAAAUCCUAUGUGUCUGCUCCCGGAGCUGCCACAACCCAUCUUCCCACAACUCGGAACUUGGAAAAAGGAACCCAGGACACGACUUUGCUUUUCUUUUGGACCUAGUUGAUACAAGUUAACAGGAUAUGCUUCUGGCCUGUUUCUGGAUUCUAAGGGUAGAACCAGCAUAAAACUAGUCAGUCCAAGUAUUUCUAAAGAUCCACAGACACAGUUCUCCUGGAUUUGGGAAGCCUAGAGAUAUUAGCACAAUAAUUAAGGCCCAACAACUUUUAAAAGCCUUUCCACUGCACAGUGAAAGAAAACCACAAACUCCUUGUUUAAUAAGUGGGAUCACGUGCUUUUAACACGAGGAAAAGGUCAAUCUGAAGCAACUGAUAUGGAACUGCCAGAGUAGGAGUUGAAAAUCUUCCUAAACUGCUGGAGGAUACACCUCUGAUAGCUUGAGACAAAUAUCCUCUUGAUCAUUGUUUCACCAUAUUUGUCUUUGCUCAUGGAGAACCAUUUUGAUCCGUGGUUUAGCCUCCCAGGUGAUUGAACAAUACCGGUGAUCUGAGGCAGACCCUCUGUGACGGAUAACAGAAAAGAAAAUUGAGGAUCAGAAAAUACGCACAAUUUGCAAAAACCAUGGGAAAGAAUAUUGAUUGAACAUCUACUCAAGAACUGCAAAACAGAGAUUACCUGACCUAAAGCAUUUAUAUUGCCAAUCAUGUUGGAGAGUCCAUGUGGUGAUUUCUGAAAACGAGAUGUGAGAAAGAAGAGGAUAAUUUAAGUCUAGACCUACAGAUUGUGCUGAUAAAGUGAUGAAGAACUACAAUCUUCUUAGUCAUUUCAUUGUAUAAGUGCAAUAAAGGGUAUGUAAUAAAUUUGUAUGUUCAUA